RNAcentral lists this ribosomal RNA (434 nucleotides) under Bacillus thuringiensis. Its description in RNAcentral is "bacterial SSU rRNA". It matches the Rfam family "Bacterial small subunit ribosomal RNA", at positions 512 to 944 of the family's 1533-position model. Lineage: Bacteria; Bacillati; Bacillota; Bacilli; Caryophanales; Bacillaceae. The record is from RNAcentral.
CAGCCGCGGUAAUACGUAGGUGGCAAGCGUUAUCCGGAAUUAUUGGGCGUAAAGCGCGCGCAGGUGGUUUCUUAAGUCUGAUGUGAAAGCCCACGGCUCAACCGUGGAGGGUCAUUGGAAACUGGGAGACUUGAGUGCAGAAGAGGAAAGUGGAAUUCCAUGUGUAGCGGUGAAAUGCGUAGAGAUAUGGAGGAACACCAGUGGCGAAGGCGACUUUCUGGUCUGUAACUGACACUGAGGCGCGAAAGCGUGGGGAGCAAACAGGAUUAGAUACCCUGGUAGUCCACGCCGUAAACGAUGAGUGCUAAGUGUUAGAGGGUUUCCGCCCUUUAGUGCUGAAGUUAACGCAUUAAGCACUCCGCCUGGGGAGUACGGCCGCAAGGCUGAAACUCAAAGGAAUUGACGGGGGCCCGCACAAGCGGUGGAGCAUGUGU